AACUAUAAAAGUACGCGAUAACUGGUGCUGAGCGAAAUGGCAUCACUGCAGCGAUUGCCUUCCCUCUCUCGCAUUGAACUGCCAUUCAGAUAAACAAAAACGAGAGAAGUGAAUGGAUUAAACAAUUUGCUUGACUAACAGAAAUUCGAGGAAUAAAAUAAUGGGUUGAUUUUAAGGAUAAUAGUACCAUGUACUAUUCCUACGCAAUAGUCCGGAAUAAGUUCCAGUUGUGUUUCCUUGUGUAUAGAACCCGCGAUUAAGUGUGUGUCAAUAGCAACUUGAGCACGCCCCAGUUGUGGAAAAGCUUCUGUUGCUAUUGGUCCAAUUACCGAACCUCAAAUUUGCCGGAGUAGAACCCGUAUCUGUAUUCAACGAUUGUAUUAAACACACUCUUCGCUAAUGCUAUCAACAUCCAGGAUAUGAACAGGAAUAAAUAGGAAUGUUCAGUGAAAACUUGAUUCACCGGUGUGAACCAAAAUGUUCUCUCUAAACGGUGUAGCAUAUAAUUUGUUCAAAAGAAAAUUUUUGUUCGCUCAUUAUAUAGUGCUUUUAUCUAUUAUAACUGUAGUACAGCCUUGUAUUAGUAUUGAUGUAAAUAAACCAGCAUUGUAAAUAAAUUAAAUA
Toxorhynchites rutilus septentrionalis is the source of this 624-nucleotide long non-coding RNA. RefSeq lists it as uncharacterized. The record is from RefSeq and is a predicted model, not a curated record. NCBI's taxonomy places the organism in Eukaryota, Metazoa, Arthropoda, Insecta, Diptera, Culicidae. The transcript is spliced from 4 exons.